This 318-nucleotide long non-coding RNA is filed under the name Physcomitrium patens. RNAcentral describes it as "long non-coding RNA (PPAT_LNC011956)". The record is from RNAcentral. Lineage: Eukaryota; Viridiplantae; Streptophyta; Bryopsida; Funariales; Funariaceae.
UAUAAAACAUGCUGAGGCUCUUGAAUCUUAGAAGACAAAGACUUUGUGAUUAUUAGGUUCUAAAUAUACUUCUAUUAUAAAAUAAGAUGAGGGGUCUGAGGAGAGGAUAGGACCUUUACUAGGUAUUGCACAAGAUUCUAGCCGCACGGUCCCUAUUGUAGCUGAAAAAACUCAUUUUUUGACACACUAUCUUCUUUGGGAAUUAUGCUUCCUAUUUUGUAAUUGUGUUUCUUCUUUAGAUAAUAUUGAGCAGUGUGCUUAGCUUCUCCACAAUAUAAACACAAUCCCUCUUAGCGAUGUCGAGUCUUUUUCUACUUC